This 497-nucleotide ribosomal RNA is filed under the name uncultured bacterium. Its description in RNAcentral is "partial 16S ribosomal RNA". It matches the Rfam family "Bacterial small subunit ribosomal RNA", at positions 28 to 507 of the family's 1533-position model. The record is from RNAcentral.
GAUGAACGCUGGCGGCGUGCCUAAUACAUGCAAGUCGAGCGAACAGACGAGGAGCUUGCUCCUCUGACGUUAGCGGCGGACGGGUGAGUAACACGUGGAUAACCUACCUAUAAGACUGGGAUAACUCCGGGAAACCGGUGCUAAUACCGGAUAAUAUAUUGAACCGCAUGGUUCAAUAGUGAAAGACGGUUUUGCUGUUACUUAUACAUGGAUCCGCGUCGCAUUAGCUAGUUGGUAAGGUAACGGCUUACCAAGGCAACGAUGCGUAGCCGACCUGAGAGGGUGAUCGGCCACACUGGAACUGAGACACGGUCCAGACUCCUACGGGAGGCAGCAGUAGGGAAUCUUCCGCAAUGGGCGAAAGCCUGACGGAGCAACGCCGCGUGAGUGAUGAAGGUCUUCGGAUCGUAAAACUCUGUUAUUAGGGAAGAACAAAUGUGUAAGUAACUAUGCACGUCUUGACGGUACCUAAUCAGAAAGCCACGGCUAACUACGUG